GACGAACGCUGGCGGCGUGCUUAACACAUGCAAGUCGAACGGAAAGGCCUCUUUCGGGGGGUACUCGCGUGGCGAACGGGUGAGUAACACGUGUGUAACCUGCCCUUGUCUUUGGGAUAACUUCAGGAAACUGGGGCUAAUACCGGAUAGGAGCUCCUGCUGCAUGGUGGGGGUUGGAAAGUUUUGGCGGUUGGGGGUGGACUCGCGGCUUAUCAGCUUGUUGGUGGGGUAUUGGCUUACCAAGGCUUUGACGGGUAGCCGGCCUGAGAGGGUGAACGGCCACAUUGGGACCUGGGUACGGCCCAGGCUCCUACGGGAAGCAGCAGGGGGGAAUAUUGCACAAUGGGUGGAAGCCUGAUGCAGCAACGCCGUGUGCGGGAUGACGGCCUUCGGGUUGUAAACCGCUUUCGCUCAUGACGAAGCUUUGUGUGACGGUAGUGGGUAAAGAAGCACCGGCUAACUACGUG
This 467-nucleotide ribosomal RNA is filed under the name uncultured bacterium. Its description in RNAcentral is "partial 16S ribosomal RNA". It matches the Rfam family "Bacterial small subunit ribosomal RNA", at positions 28 to 507 of the family's 1533-position model. The record is from RNAcentral.